Molecule: RNA transcript, 2354 nt
Organism: Puntigrus tetrazona (Sumatra barb)
Lineage: Eukaryota; Metazoa; Chordata; Actinopteri; Cypriniformes; Cyprinidae
Gene name: natural killer cell receptor 2B4-like
Exons: 5
Source: RefSeq, a predicted model, not a curated record
GAACGAUAUAACUUUUACAAAACAUAAAAUAAAAUAACUCCAAAGUGAGCAUGGUACACAGUCAAAACCACUAAAUGACGACAUUUCGUAUCGUUUCUGAUCGUAUGUUUCUCGCCCAGCCAAACGUUCAUUUAUUUAAAUGAUCUCGGGCUUAGUCUCAGAGGUAUCUUCACCCGAGAGAACACCACUGAAGCUGGAGAGCCGCACAUCAUGCACAUAAAUAUACAUUAUCCGCAAAUCAAGAAUGACUUACUACAAAGUAAGAAUUUGUUCCCUUGUUUUUCCUUCAUUUUAUAUAAUAAUGGCCACAAAUCUAUACAGGCGAAUUAUUUUUGCAACCCAGGCUCAUUUGAAAUACUUGCAUCGCAUCUGCAGUACUGUUAUCAUGCACCCUGCACGUUUGCGGCAGUCUCAAAGUGACACGUCCAGUAAGUGGCACUGUUUUUAUUGUUUUCAUUGCAUCGAUGUGCAUGCAUUGCCGUGUUUGCAUUACUGUCAUUACUUCAGAUACGUAUUUCAGGGCUUCAUAAUCCGAAGUGUGUCACUAAAAGUUAAUGCUCUACAUCAAACCUAACUCUAAACCUUCCCGAUAGUGUUACCAGAUGCAAAAGUGAUAUAGAAAUGGUUUUGUCGGUGCAGCUAUUUUAACUUCCUUAUGCGGAUUUGAGUUGUUUGAUGAACCCUAGUCGUACAGGGUUCGUCCGAAGCUCUUCGACAGAUUUCCUGUCAAGACAUGGUAUUUAAUGCGAAUGACCAACUUCCUCUUCCUGGCAGUACAAGUAAUACGAGACCACAGCAGAUCAGACUCCAUCCAUCUGCAAUGAAAUUUGGUCCCAUUCUCAUGUUCUUCGUGACAGAUCUAAUCUCCAGCACAGGUAUUAAAGCUCUUCAUUUGAUUUCUGUUUUAAUAUACAGAUUAGCCUACAUGACGUCCAUUGCAAAAGUAGCAGACUAUUCAUAUUUGCAUAUUUAGAGAAUACUGUAAAUACUGCGUGUUAGAAAUAUUGUAAAAUUAUCACUACAUCAUGAAAGCUUAAUAACAAACGUCAGGAAAAAAAAAUGCAUUUUGCCAGACUCACUGGUUAAAAAAAAACAAAAAAAAAACUGUAAAAUAUUUGUUAAAAUGGCACAAUUUUUUUUUUUUCAUUUAUUUUUUUAUCGUUAUUCUUUUCAAGCAAGAAUUGCCUUUCCAGAUGGAUAGAUAAACAAAUAAACAAACAAACAAACAGGGAAAAGGAAAAUGAAAAGAUAUAAUGAAAUAUGCCAUUUGUUUGAAUAAUUUAGUGAAAGUAUCACGCAGAAUAAAUAUGUGCUAUAAAUAAAUAAAUAGGCCUACAUGUAAAUGUCAAACAUGGUUGCAGGGUUAAAAGGUUGUUCUCGUUUUUUUUUCUCCUCAGUAUCCAGAUCUGAAGACCAUGUGUUCGUACAGACGGGGACUCUGUUACACUGGACAUAAAAAAUAAACCACUGCUAAAGUUUACAAGAUUACUUUGGAUGAAUGAUGAAUCAGAAAAUAUAGUCAGAUUUGUAAAUGAAUCUGGAGAUAUAACAUGUUUUGUAUACAAGGACAGAGUGGAUUUCAAUAAUAAAACACUCUCUGUGACUCUGAAGAACAUGCAGAAGACAGACAGUGGACUCUACACAGCAAAAACAAUAGGAAAAACAACAACAUUUGUUGCAGAACACAAUGUAUUAGUUAUAGAUCCAGUGGAUUCUCCUGUUCUGAAAACAAAAUUCCCCAUGAUAAGUGUUAACGUCUGUGUCGUGAACGUCUCAUGCAGUGGACCUGAUCAAACAAUCAGACACAGUUACCACAGCAACGACUGCACUCAAGAGGAAGUGACAUCAUCUGGAGUCCAGACUCUAGCCCUGUAUUGUAGAAAGAACAGAGUUGUCUGUAACUACAGCAAUCCAGUCAGCUGGAAGAAUCAAACUAUAGAGAUUAACCAACUUUGUACACCUUAUGAAAAAGAACAUCCAGAAGAAAACAACAGUCCUCUCUUCCUUUGGCUCUCGGUCAUCGCUGGUGUAUUUGUGCUGGUUUUCACAGCAGUUUCUUACAAGAAGCGUAAAAGGGUGCUGAACAGAAGGGUCAUAAAGGCUGUGGAGAAGUUGGUCUAAUAGAUAGAUCUUCUUCCUCUGGAACAGAUCAUACAAUUUAUUCAAUAGUGUAUUAUUCAACAGUGAUGGAAGACAACCUGUGCAUAAACAGCAAAUUAUGAAAAAUGUGAAACAGCUCAUGAUAUUUAAGCAUGAGCAAAUAAAGGUGAAGUGCCAUGUCUCUCUCUCAUAGCCAUGAGAAACCUUUUUUAUUAAAAUUAUGUCCCUGUUUAAAUACAAGCCUUGUUUUUAUC